AGGAUGAACGCUGGCGGCGUGCUUAACACAUGCAAGUCGAACGGUGAAAGAGGAGCUUGCUCCUCUGGAUCAGUGGCGAACGGGUGAGUAACACGUGAGUAACCUGCCCUUGACUCUGGGAUAAGCGUUGGAAACGACGUCUAAUACCGGAUACGACCUCCGAAGGCAUCUUCUGGAAGUGGAAAGAAUUUCGGUCAAGGAUGGACUCGCGGCCUAUCAGCUAGUUGGUGAGGUAACGGCCCACCAAGGCGACGACGGGUAGCCGGCCUGAGAGGGUGACCGGCCACGACUGGGACUGAGACACGGCCCAGACUCCUACGGGAGGCAGCAGUGGGGAAUAUUGCACAAUGGGCGCAAGCCUGAUGCAGCAACGCCGCGUGAGGGACGACGGCCUUCGGGUUGUAAACCUCUUUUAGUAGGGAAGAAGCGAAAGUGACGGUACCUGCAGAAAAGCACCGGCUAACUACGUGCCAGCAGCCGC
This 481-nucleotide ribosomal RNA is filed under the name uncultured bacterium. Its description in RNAcentral is "SSU rRNA". It matches the Rfam family "Bacterial small subunit ribosomal RNA", at positions 26 to 518 of the family's 1533-position model. The record is from RNAcentral.